Molecule: ribosomal RNA, 247 nt
Filed under: uncultured bacterium
Lineage: Bacteria
Description: partial small subunit ribosomal RNA
Rfam family: Bacterial small subunit ribosomal RNA
Source: RNAcentral
AGGACGAACGCUGGCGGCGUGCUUAACACAUGCAAGUCGAGCGGAAAGGCCUUUCGGGGUACUCGAGCGGCGAACGGGUGAGUAACACGUGAGCAACCUGCCCUUAGCUUCGGGAUAGCUCCGGGAAACCGGAAUUAAUACCGAAUAUGACUUUGGCUGACAUCAGCAGAAGUGGAAAGUUUUUCGGCUAGGGAUGGACUCGCGGCCUAUCAGCUAGUUGGUGAGGUAACGGCCCACCAAGGCGACG